RNAcentral lists this non-coding RNA (917 nucleotides) under Calamaria septentrionalis (Hong Kong dwarf snake). Lineage: Eukaryota; Metazoa; Chordata; Lepidosauria; Squamata; Calamariidae. The record is from RNAcentral.
UAAGGUCUUGGUCUUAAACCUAAUAUUGCCUACCCCCAUACUUAUACAUGCAAGCCUCACCACAACAGUGAAAUAGCCCAUUUUAACACUACCGGAGCAGAUAUCAGGCAUUCCGCCCAAAACAUCAAGCAACCUAGCCACACCCCCACAGGGCCAGCAGCAGUACUUAAUAUUAGGCCAUAAGCGCAAGCUUGACCUAAUAAAGGGACCACCUUUCGGGUUGGUUAAUCUCGUGCCAGCGACCGCGGUUAUACGAUAAACCCAAAACAAUACCUGCGGCGUAAAACACGACUAAAUCAACGUCACCAAUUAGAACAGAAGCUAACCAAGGCCGUAAAAAGCCAUAAGCCCCCCUAACAAUCUAACUACAGACAACUUCAACUCGUGAAAGCAAGGACACAAACUAAGAUUAGAUACCUUACUAUGCCUAGCCAUAACACAAUAAUUAAAUUACUAAUUAUUCGCCAAAUAACUACGAGUAAAAACUUAAAACUUAAAAGACUUGACGGUGUCUCACAACAACCUAGAGGAGCCUGUCUACUAACCGAUACCCCACGAUUAACCCAACCCUUUCUAGCCAACAGUCUAUAUACCACCGUCGCCAGCUUACCUUAUGAAAGAAAUACAGUGAGCUAAACAAUCAAACAUUAACACGACAGGUCGAGGUGUAACUUAUGAAGGGGAAAAAGAUGGGCUACAUUUUCUAAAACAGAAAAUACGGACAAACUACGAAACAAGAAACUGAAGGCGGAUUUAGCAGUACAUUAAGAAUAAAACACCUAAUAGAAACCAACGCAAUGAGACGCGUACACACCGCCCGUCAUCCCUGCAAACAACAACAUACAUCUAUAAACCUACUACCUACAAACCCAGGGCAAGUCGUAACAUGGUAAACGUACUGGAAAGUGCGCUUAGAA